Molecule: long non-coding RNA, 930 nt
Organism: Hevea brasiliensis (rubber tree)
Lineage: Eukaryota; Viridiplantae; Streptophyta; Magnoliopsida; Malpighiales; Euphorbiaceae
Exons: 2
Source: RefSeq, a predicted model, not a curated record
UUAGCUUUCACUUUUUUUGGUUAUCAUGGGAGACUAGAAAAUCAAGUGUCAAAAAUGCCCCUAUAUGCUAUUGACCUGAUAAUUUUCAAAGAAGUGUCGAUAACUUGUACCAGCAUACCCCAAUUCCUGAAUUAUAGAUAUUGAUGUCACCUGAAAAAUUAACAGUUAAAAUAUGGGUAAUUGAAAUAAAAAACCUGUUAUAAAACAUUAAUCUCCAUUUAGAGUCCCAAAAAUGGUCUGCAGCCCUAAUUCAUAACACAACUCCUAUAAAUAAUCUUUAUGCGUAGUUAUUGUUAAAUAGAUGAUUGCAAGGCAAUUAGGUCAUUUUUGCCACCGCUCUCCCGUGUCACAUAGACAAACCCCUCAUCCUAGUUCUCAUGGGUUUAACCCCCGGCUCGCAUUUGGAUACUCUCAGAAGUAGAGGAUCGAACAGUUGCUAUGUAAUUUCACAUAUUGGAAUACGACAAAAGGGUCACCUUUAUAGAAAGCUCUCACAUUUCUUGUUAGAAACAUUCACCAGCAAUUCACCUCAGUAUUCAAUGCCUGGAACUUUCUUGAUGCUACUGCCUUCCAGCCUAGUAGGACACAGCAUAUAUGGCUGUCUAAACUAACCAACAUUCUAGCUGAUGCUGCUAAACCAAUGCUUGUUCUCACUGCAAGAUCUUACCAAUUAACUGCUACAAUUGUCAGUUCAUAAGGCAAGGGAUCUACUAAAGGCAACCAAAGAAUGUAAACCUUUCAACAAGUCUCAUUUGAGAAGUUAGUUACAUGAUCUAUAGUCAGAUUCCCACAACUCAGCAAAGGAAUCAUAUAGUCUAUUUAGGUAAAAAUCUUAUUCACUCAUCUUUUGUAUACUACAGUAAAAGUGGUUUGUGAAUUUUCAUGAGACAUGAACUCAGUUCAGUUACAUAUCAUUGAAUGUUUUCUGUU